RNAcentral lists this ribosomal RNA (293 nucleotides) under uncultured bacterium. Its description in RNAcentral is "partial 16S ribosomal RNA". It matches the Rfam family "Bacterial small subunit ribosomal RNA", at positions 55 to 339 of the family's 1533-position model. The record is from RNAcentral.
AUGCAAGUCGAGGGGCGGCGAGAAUUAGUUUACUAAUUUGUCGGCGACCGGCGCACGGGUGCGUAACGCGUAUGCAACCUACCUUUUACUGGGGGAUAGCCCGGAGAAAUUCGGAUUAAUACCCCAUAGUAUCUAUUAAUGGCAUCAUUUGAUAGAUUAAAGUUUCGGCGGUAAAAGAUGGGCAUGCGUCCUAUUAGCUAGAUGGUAAGGUAACGGCUUACCAUGGCUACGAUAGGUAGGGGGGCCUGAGAGGGUAGUCCCCCACACUGGUACUGAGACACGGACCAGACUCC